UAAUAUAAGAGGAUAACUUCACUGAUGAAAAUGGGGUUUUAUGACGUCUUGGUCUGGUCGUAGACUACAAACGAAAGACGAGAAGUUGCAGCUAUGGUGAACUUUUAGUCUAAACAAAACCCAAGUCUAAAUGGCGCCCUAAGGAUUGUAUGAUAGAGGCGAGGGUCCUGAUCUUUGCAUGUGAUGAUAACUAUCUAUUUGAUGGAGACGGCUUUGAUGAUUCAACUAAAGUGCAUGAUGUUCCACCUUAGAAAUUGCUAAACCAAUCUCCAAGAGGCUAUUGUCCACGCCGUAGCAUGAUCAACCAGACCACGAAGGUCUAUUCCUGCAACCAAUCGAAGAGCAAGAAAGAAUAUGAUAAAAGCAAUUCGAAUAUUGUGAACAUAUAUGAAGUAUUGAUAAAGUUGGGGAUCCAAAAGUGGUCUUGGUUUGGUCGUUGGAUACAAACAAAAUACACGAAGUUGGAAUGAUAACUUUAAACUAAACAAACACCAAACAAAAAAGAUGCUAGAGUGGUCUACUUAUAUAGGAGCAUGGCGUUGCUUCCAAGGAGGUGGGAGGAUGUCCCAAGACAACCUAGAACUAAACCUAGGGCGUACAAGGCUCAUGGACCACGUGGGGAGAUGCAACACCUUUGGACUUGUAGUAUGACUUGGAUUGUGACAUAGCAUCACAUUGUUUCGUCAAUAUCUCCAUGCUCCGGAUGAAUUUGAAGGUGAAUCCAAUUGGUUUGGAAAGUACAUGAAAUCUACAAUCCAACACAAAACAAAUUACCCAAUUGUGAGUCUAGAUGCAAAAUUCAUUGAUGUUUUGACACACGUAUUUGUAUGUAGUCCGAAUAUUAGUCCAAAACGUGGGGGACUUGGUUUCUAUCUUCUCUGGUGCAAAAAGUGACGUGAGAGGACUUUUUGAACAACACAUAAUAUUUUCCUUUGAUGUGAGAGGACUUCUUGAACAUCACCUAACCAUUUCCCAUUCCUUUAUCUUCACAGGUGGUUCGUACAAGAGUUUGACAAUUCUGCAUCUAGGCGUGUCAUAAAAAUAGGUGAAGUAGUUUUGUUCGAAUAACAUCAAUAAAUUAUUGCAUAAUUAUUAUCUGAAAUCACCUCACAAAUAUGCAAGUAUGCACUAUUUUCGGUAGUAUACAAGGUACACAUGUCCUUAUCAUCCUGCUCUUGUUGAAAACAAAGUUGUCCUCGGCGUUGCCUAAACUAAAAUAUUGCUAACAAAAGGGACAAGGUGCAUACAUUGUAUAUGUAUAUUUCGUCCAUUUUUAUUGAUCUCAGUUGUGGCACAUGUGAGACAUAUAUAUACGCACUUUUCAAAUGUCAUGAAAUAUAAAGGCAAAAAAUCAUCCCAAGAAGUCAAAGGCAUGAAUAUAUUGCAACUUAGUUUGCACAUAAAAGUGAAGCUCUUAUUCAUAUCAAAAGGUUGGCAAUUUGGAUCAUUAAACCAUCCUAACAUUGUUGAAUACUUUUUCAUUGUUUCCAAUUUAGAUGCUACAAUGUGCUUAAAUAAUCAAACAUGCAACAAGUCAUUUUACAUAGAAUCAUCACCAAUAUUAGAGGUCAUAUCAAAAUGAUUAAACAUUGGCACAAUUAUUUUUAGAAGUUUUUGAUACAAAGCUGGCUUAUUCCCUGAUACACAACGUUCUUUCCAUCAACAAUAAAUUCAACGCGUCCACUUAAAAUUCUUGAUAUUGCAGUUGUUUGAUCACAUGUCAAAGUCAAAUCAUCAAUAUAGUCCUCUAUAAUAGGUGGUGUAAUCAAAGUAAUGCGUAGCUCUUCACAUGUUGCAUUUAAAUUUAUAAGGAAUUCAUC
Molecule: long non-coding RNA, 1820 nt
Filed under: Hordeum vulgare
Lineage: Eukaryota; Viridiplantae; Streptophyta; Magnoliopsida; Poales; Poaceae
Description: long non-coding RNA (HVUL_LNC019047)
Source: RNAcentral